This 519-nucleotide ribosomal RNA is filed under the name uncultured eukaryote. RNAcentral describes it as "SSU rRNA". It matches the Rfam family "Eukaryotic small subunit ribosomal RNA", at positions 1161 to 1704 of the family's 1831-position model. The record is from RNAcentral.
AGGGCACCACCAGGAGUGGAGCCUGCGGCUUAAUUUGACUCAACACGGGGAAACUCACCCGGCCCGGACACCGUAAGGAUUGACAGAUUGAUAGCUUCUUCAUGAUUCGGUGGAUGGUGGUGCAUGGCCGUUCUUAGUUCGUGGAGCGAUUUGUCUGGUUUAUUCCGAUAACGAGCGAGACUCUAGCCUACUAAAUAGUUCGCACAUUGUCUCUGUGUGUGUGACUUCUUAGAGGGAUUUUCGGUGUUCAGCCGCACGAAAUUGAGCAAUAACAGGCCUGUGAUGCCCUUAGAUGUCCGGGGCUGCACGCGCGCUACACUGGCAAAAUCAGCGUGCUUGUCCUUCCCCGAAAGGGGUUGGUAAACCCUUGAAAAUUUGCCGUGAUUGGGAUUGGAAAUUGCAAUUAUUUUCCAUGAACGAGGAAUUCCAAGUAAGUGCGAGUCAUCAGCUCGCGUUGAUUACGUCCCCGCCCUUUGUACACACCCGCCCGUCGCUGCCCGGGACUGAGCCAUUUCGAGA